Long non-coding RNA from Lolium rigidum, 1472 nucleotides. RefSeq lists it as uncharacterized. The record is from RefSeq and is a predicted model, not a curated record. The transcript has 4 exons. Lineage: Eukaryota; Viridiplantae; Streptophyta; Magnoliopsida; Poales; Poaceae.
GACCGUCCUUGGCGCUGAAGGUCUCGUCCUCCCCAUGGCCACUCCUCUCUGCGGCUCGUGCCCGUGUCGUCUCUCUCGCGCUACACCGUGCGCCGCCCUCUGUCCUCUCUCUCUCUACAUGUGUGCCGUAUGCAUCCCUCUAUCUACCACCGCCAAGCCCAUUUGGUAGGAACUUGGAUGGCCACCAGAUCUAUGUCUGCUUCACCGGUGCACCUCCAAGACCCUCGACCUCACGUUGGACUUGCAUCUGCUUUAUCUUUGUUCUCCCCGUCCGUUGAAGGUGACUAUGUUCUUCAUGGAUGAUGGGAAAGUAGCCAAGUAGGUGAUUUUGUUUCUGUUUGAAUCAUGUGAAAUAGAUUACUAAUUAUGUGAUUUGUUCUUGCUGGACGAUGGGGUAGACAAUUUAUUACCAUACUUAACAUGUUGUAGUAGUAGUAGUACUAGUGAAAUUGAAAUAGAAACUGCAAUUUGUUACCUGUGGCUGUUUUAACAUCUCAGAUAUCAAUAUGUGGUAGUCAAAACUGUUGAAAUAAAAAUGGUGCAUGAGUUCUGUGUUAAAUCUCUGCCUCCUGUUUGCGAAUUUCUAUUUACAUGUGCUGUUGUAAAGUUUCUAGAUUGUGUUUGUGUUUUGUGUUGUUACUGUCAUGUGAAUAUUCAGAUUGGCACUCUCAUAUUUUUUUCAGUAAAUGUGUCUUGCUUGUUGACGGAUUAGAUUGUACAUUUUUUCUAUGUGAUCCAUGGAAGUAGUAGUACUAGUGUUCCUCGGUUAUUUGUAGUGAGAGAAGAAACUUGUAUUAUUCAUCUCACUUGCCAGCAAGUUGCAGCAUAAGCAGAAGGAAAGAUUUGUAUAGACGCCAUGCAUGAUUUUGCGGUUCGGGUUGGGAUGUAGCUGCUGAGUUUUUGGCGUCUGCUAUGUUAUCAUAAGGUCACGGUCUAUACAGUAUACAUGCUGAUGUUUUCCAUCUGAUUAGGUUUAGAAAUAGACAUGCCCGUACCAGCGAUUUGGUGUUGUAUUUUCUUAUUUCACAAUGCUUCAUCCAUCUUAUUAGUUGAAUGAUAAUACUUCUUUGUUGCUUUUCUCAGUUAAGACAAGAGAUGUAGAACUGAACUGGGUUGAACAAGCUUGAAGCUAAUUUUCUGAAUUUGAUCUUAUACUGAGAUAAUUGCACUAGGAUUACCACAAUGUGGAAGCGCUUCCGCAAGGAACAAAAGAUCCUUUAUCAUCUAGAGAUGAUGUAUGAAGUAAAGAUGUCAUUGGCGCAAAGGAUCAAUGAUUUCUUAAAUCAGAGAUUGAAGCACAUGGGUCUCUUCAUAUAAAGCUAAUCUUUGGAGGCAACAACAUUGGAGCUCUGGUACAUGUGUUGGAGGCUUGUUCUGGCUGAAUAAAAUGGGAGUCUCAUAAAUAGUUACGGAAGGGUGGUCAUUUUGGUAAUAUGUCUAGUUUGCUAGACUUAUAGUAUACUGCUAGAGGC